AUUGAACGCUGGCGGAAUGCUUUACACAUGCAAGUCGAACGGCAGCACGGGGCAACCUGGUGGCGAGUGGCGAACGGGUGAGUAAUACAUCGGAACGUGCCCAAUCGUGGGGGAUAACGUAGCGAAAGUUACGCUAAUACCGCAUACGAUCUACGGAUGAAAGCGGGGGAUCGCAAGACCUCGCGCGAAUGGAGCGGCCGAUGUCAGAUUAGGUAGUUGGUGGGGUAAAGGCUCACCAAGCCAACGAUCUGUAGCUGGUCUGAGAGGACGACCAGCCACACUGGAACUGAGACACGGUCCAGACUCCUACGGGAGGCAGCAGUGGGGAAUUUUGGACAAUGGGCGCAAGCCUGAUCCAGCCAUUCCGCGUGCAGGAUGAAGGCCUCGGUUGUAAACUGCUUUUGUACGGACGAAAAGUACCUGGUUAAUACUGGGCUCGAUGACGUACCGUAACGAAUAAGAACCGGCGUAACUAACGUGCCAGCAGCCGCGGUAAACUCGU
Molecule: ribosomal RNA, 502 nt
Filed under: uncultured bacterium
Lineage: Bacteria
Description: bacterial SSU rRNA
Rfam family: Bacterial small subunit ribosomal RNA
Source: RNAcentral